Molecule: long non-coding RNA, 33487 nt
Filed under: Selaginella moellendorffii
Lineage: Eukaryota; Viridiplantae; Streptophyta; Lycopodiopsida; Selaginellales; Selaginellaceae
Description: long non-coding RNA (SMOE_LNC001698)
Source: RNAcentral
CAAGGUCAAAUUAAAUUUUUGCGAAGAACCCUAAUUUAUGUACAUUUUUAGGGCUCAAAGAGCCGAGCAAUCGGUGUUGGCGAAUCCGAGCCGCGGGUGCUGGACAUCGUAGAGGAAAUGGAUGUUUUGCUGCUGGAAAUUCCCGAUGAUCGACAUGCCAUCCGUGGGAAGAAUCGCGAGGCAGUGCUUGGCUUCUUGCGAAUCCGGCUGGAUGAAAUAGUUCUCCUGCGGAAGAUCCAGCUCGGCUCCGUUUUGGAAGACGAUGCCGAGGGCAGGGAAUGGCACGGCGGUCCUCCCAGUGGCAUUGUAGCAAAUCCCCAGGAUGUCGAAGGGAUCGGCCCUAGGGUAUGAGAUCCUCGCCAGGAACGCGCUCUCCACCGCUCGCUACGCGUCGCGAUUGAGGUACGUGAGAGUGGUUCCCGAAUCGAUGAUCGUCCCGCCGCUUCCAUUGGCAGCAAUCGCGAAUCUCUCGGCCGGGAUGGGGAGAAGCUCCUGGUCGAUCUUGAUCCCCUGGAUUCCAAGGUAGUAGAAGGUCUCCACGGAGUUGUUCGUCCUCACGAAUGGCGUGAAUCUCAUCUGGUGGUGUAGAGGUUUACAAAGGCGGAAGCGAUUCGAGAGUGGACAAGCUUGGCUUGUGAGAGUGUCUUGCACGAGGCGAUAAGGCUCAGGCACUCGCGUCUGUCCAGCCUCGUUUCCAAACUAACCAUCAAUGCUUUGUCAAUCAAAUGUGAUGUUGAGAAUUAAUCAUGCCGCUAAUGUCAAGUCUCUUUGGCCAAAAAAAAAUUCUCACAUUUUCUACCGUGGAUUCCUUAUUCACGUUGCUAAUGGGCAUUUGGUCUAGUGGUAUGAUUCUCGCUUAGGGUGCGAGGGGUCCCGAGUUCACUUCUCGGAAUGCCCCCAGUUCUGUGCUUCCAUCAUAAAUCCUAGUGACCCUUGCGGUCCAGGCACAAUUCCAGGACCUCCAAAUCAGAAAUAUGCACCCCCUUUGCUCCACUUUUCAUCCCAAUUGCUAUCGUAAGGUUUUCUCAGAGUCUGGAUACGCUUGAAAAUGAGAUUAUAGUAGCCUAAAGUUUUGCAGCCAUCAACCUGCCAUAACAAUGCUUUUCUAAAGUUUUGACCAUAUGAGUUACCUUCCAGUAGACAAAGAGUCGAGGUCCUGUUCCUCCAUAGAAUUCAGGAUAAAUCUUCAAGAAAGGUUCAGUAAAAGAGAAGUGUGUACAUAUCUUUCAAUUGUGUUCAACGGGCUUGAUUUGUUCGAAAUGAUCCACAAUUGUGCUAAACUGAACUUCGAAGUUUUUUCCGCGUAUAGCUCCCAGACAUUUAUACUUGUUUCCAAAAAACUCAUUGUAUCUGUGAUAAAUUGUCAGCUCUUGAAUGUUUGUUACCUCGUGUGUUUCUCUUGUACAAUCCUUGUGUGGUAUAUGGUUCUAGCGCUGACAGCCUCAUAGAUCCUUCUUCACCAUCUCAGCAAAGAUUUGCCCUGCCUGUGUGUCGAAAGAGUCACUCUCAGCAAAGGUUUGCCCUCGGAGGAGUCACUCGUGCGAAUGACACACUAGGAUCUGGAACAGUUGGGACAAGAUCUUGAACUCUUUUAAAAAAUUUAAGAUAAAGAUAAAACUUUAAGAAUUGAACUAACUUAGGGGGUGCCUUUUCCUUCAGCCAAAAGGUCCAAAUCAGUAUAUAAUUAGGGUUACAUUGAAUAACCCUUAAGGAAAAUUACAAAAUGAAUUGUAGUUAUUGUCAUUCUUCAGACUUGUUCUUACAAGGUUCAAACACUGGUGGGAAAUAUCAAGAGUAUUGUAAACAUUGCAACAAGCUAUGCUGGAAAGGUGGCCAGAAGAAAGUUGAGGAGCAACAUAGCUCGUUUAAGUUGGUCUUGCAAGACUUGAAUAAAUGUCCUCCAGUGACAAAGAAAUCCUUGGUUUUGUUCUAAGAUGGCCAAGUGAUCACUUUGGCGCAAAAUCCUUUAGAGAUUUCUUGAGCAAUUUGUACAAACGUCAAAGUUCCCCAUCAGGAAGCUCAAAGAAACAAAAUAUUCCAUUCUUUUGCUUAUGCAAUGAAACAUAAGGUCCCCAUUCCAUUUCCAUUUACUCAUUCCACUUAAAAACAAUAAAAAUAUAGUAAAUCAAGCGGGUUUUCAAUUGUCAUUCUGUUUUGAUUGUCGUAGGAUCAAGUUGACGUUGUCAACGAUUCCUUUAGUUGGCUUAGCAAAGAAAAACCCCGUUUGGAGAAACGCAUAGGCCAAAGCAGUUGCAAAAUAGAAGUUGGCAUACCGAUGGGUCGACAACCGUCAUCAAAAUAAAAGAAAGGAAAAUCGGUCGGUGAUAGAAGUAUAUAGAUAGUGGUGCUAUCAGGCAAAAUAUGUUGCCAUGAAACACCGACCUCAGAUUUCUUGGCGCAAUUUUAACAACACUCCACGUUAACUUCUUUUGGCCAAAGUUGAUGGAUGGACCUCAGAAACGUUCCGUAUAGACUGGUUUGAUAGCUUGAAUGCUUGAGGUAAUCACCUGCACGGAACGUUUCUGGGGUUCCACAGUCAGAAAUCCGAGGUCGCAAGAAGACCCAUGCUGGGAAAGAUUGACGAUAGAGCAGUUUUGUCUUCUUUGAUUUCCAAGUACACAAGUUACGAAGAAGAUAUUGCGACCCUCAUCGAUCUGCAAAUCAAAGAGUUUCUCCCUUCAUUAUUUUCGUCAUCUUCGAAGAAUGUCAGAAACAGAAGCAUUGCUGCGGAUGGUAUGCUUCUUACAUUCUUACGCAGCAGCAGAUCUCAAUGAGGAGAUGAGAGAUUUUCUCUGAGACGUGACUCCUCCGUUUUUCACAAAUCAUACGGUUUGUUUCCUUUUUUUCAAACCCUUGUGAACACAUAGAUUCCGAAUUGCAGUUAUCAAAUGGAGACAUCAUCCUCUGCGUCCCAAUUAAAAAUCAACUGUCUGUAAGAAACCAGACACUGCAGCUUCUGGUAAGUUGUGCAGCAUUCCUCGUUUAGCCCCUCAAAUGAUGAACAAAAAAGAGCACAAUCGAUCAGAAAAUUCCGGUCAGCUGUUUGGUCUAGAAGUUGGAUCGUGCAAGAAAAACACAAUCCCGGUGUUGCAAACUUCGAAUACCAUAGCCGCAAGAUUUGGUUCUGUGAGGAAGCUAAUCAUAAAACAUUCCUAUGGAAAAAAUCGAGUGCCAUUGGCUGAUGAAGAACCUGAUCUGAGCAAAACUCUCAAGAGUUGACGAUACUUUGCAUGAUCUGCAACGAGUUGAACGGCAACUUUAAAGAGAUGGAAACAACUAGAAAUGAUUGGGAGCCAUAUGUGGAACAAACUUCCGAGUUCAGUCUAGCGCAGUUGUGGAUCACCUCAAACAAAUUAGGCCCAGUGAACAAAAUUGAAGCAGGAUGGCAGGUAUGUGGAAAUUCAAGUGUUUCUAUACUGAACCUUGAGGAAGUGGGCCUCGACUCUUUGUCUACUGGACAGUAAAUCAGAUUGGUAAUAAAACAUUUUAUAAGAAUUGUCAACAUUUGGCAGGCCGAUGGCUACAUAAAUACUGGAUGCUAUAACCUGUACAGACUCUAGACCUGGAAAACACGUAAGGUUAUCUCAUAUAUUGUGUAGAGUCUGGAGUGGAUACGCUCGAAAAUGUUCCUCCUAGUAUGUAUUUGUUGCUUAAGCCUUGGCUGAAUUUUUCAGGACGAUGGCUCAAAGAAUUGGUGGUUACAAAAUUGACGGGUAAAUCUAUUCUAAUUUCUACAGAAUGACACUUUGGAAGUUACUAUGAUAAAGAAAACGGAGCAAGACACACAAAGACUGAUAUGGGAAGUGGAGAAUUUCCAUCCCAGGGAUAUGGUAAUUUGCAUACCAGAGAAGAAUACAGUACCUGGAUUCUAGUGGUGCGAUGCAGCCAACAAUUGGGAUGAAAAGAGAAGCUGAAACACCUAAAUUGCUAUACUGCUACUAGUGUCUCGGCUAUGAAUGGGGCAUAUUUCUUCUUUGGAGGCCCUGGCAGUGCCUGUAAAAUGCAAAGGUGUAUUUGCUAACAAUCCAAAAAAUUCUGAUAAAUUCAAUGGGGUGAUGCUUGGGGAUUUUCGCGUAGAUCUUCCCGUAUCUGCGAAGUCGAGAAAUUAUAUAUUGCAACAAUCACCACAGCAUUCCAAAUACGAAGCUUACCCCACGGCAGUACCCUCCAGUUUCUCAAUGGCCUCCUCGAUCCGCUUUGCCACUGCCUCACGCUUCUCUGGCAAAGCAGCUACGAACUCUUCGACAAUGAUUUCGAUACUCGCCACUUUGCCGGCCUGUAAUAUUGUGAGCUGCAUGCAAGCAACGAAAGUAGAGCGUACCUUCUCUGUAAGAUGGCCUUUUGUGUCACGGUAAGUACCACAUUUUUCGUUCAGGAACUCCACGAGUUCCUCUAGUGAACGCCCAUCACAAUCCUCUCCAUCUUUGUUGGAUUUCAGGAAGAACUUUACUGUGGGAUAGCCACUAAUAUCAUAUCUGAAAGAUAGGCAGAGGUUACAAUCAACUAUACAUAAGACACUGAAAAAGCUUACUUGGACGCCAGAUCCUUGUGAGCAUCUGCAUCUAGCUUCGCUAUGACCACACCCUUCUCACCUUUGAACGCGGUUGCAACCUCCUCAUAAACCUUCCAGAACAAAAUCAAUGUUUUAGUAUCACUGAUAGCAUGCAUCAGACUGACUUACCGGAGCCAUGUGAGCGGUUAUCCAAGUGGUUUCCGAGGGGGAUUGGCAUAGGGACUUGUGUUCAUCACAAUCCACCUGCCGAACUAAACUAUGAGCACAGAGGUACUGAAGUUUUCAUAAAAAGGUUACCUUGCUUAUCACUACGUUCUUCACUUUCUUGAAAGCCGAUCCGACCUUCUCGUACUCAGGAGCUAGCUUCUUACAGUGCCCGCACCUGGAAUUUCAGAGACCAGAUUAAAAUCGCCUCCAGAAGACUAGAUCCAGCUGCAAUGCAAUGCUUGGUUACCAGGGAGCGUAGAACUCAACAAGAGCUCCUCGACCCUGCCGUACUACUUGCUCAAAAUUGUCAGGUGUAAGCACAACGACAUCAGAUUCUGCAGCAAAAGCUCCAAAAACGCCAGCAGCAAAACCGCCAACAUUCUCUCCAUUUUCGCAGAUCGUAGGAUGAGAUCCAGCCGUCAAGAAGCCCGCAUCCGGUUGUCCCCAAUCCCAAAUGGCAUACACUGGUUGGAUGUUAGGACGUAACAACUCUGAUCCGUGCUAAUUGUCAGCCGUUCGAUUGAAAGAUAGAAAUGUUCAAGGAUAAGUACGGAUAUUCUUGUUUGAACUUGUGGGAAUUCAAUACAGAUCCUUCUUGUUGUGGUUUUUCGCUUGUGCAUUUACGAACUUCCUCAGGCCUCUGCUAGUUGGAGUUCCGGAAUAACUAAACAACGCAACCAUGGUAACCUCAGAGCUACUUGAAAAUCGACCAGCAGGAACUUACAUUUUGGCAGUCAUUGAUCCUUUCGGGAACCACUCGAUUGUUGGGUAGUUGCUGAUGUUACAAUACCCACACACUAAAGGAUGGUAUUCGCAAUUCACCUGUGAAUCGGAAUGAGCCAUCACAAAGAACUCGACACUGCGGUUCUUACAUGGGCUAUCAGCACGGUCUUCUUGACUUUCCUGAAUGCCAAACCAACCUUCUCAUAUUCAGGUUCAAGCUUCUUACAAGCUCCACAACUGCGCAACUAAGUCGGAACAAAGCAAUCGAUCAGGUUGUGACAAUUGAAUGGGGGAGCUACCUGUUAAUGAAGAACUCGACAAGAGCUCCUCGAUCCUGCCCUACCAGUUUUAUAAAGUUCUCGGGCGUGAGAUUUACGACGUGAUCCGCAGCAAGAGCUGGCAUCACUGAAAGCACCAAGAGCAGACCAGCCAGCAUUCUUACCAUCUUGCUCACCCUAUCAGUCGCGAUUGAGUGAAACUGAAAGAGCCACUUUUGACAUACCAUGGCACGCCUUCUGUUUAUUGAAUCUUAGCCGUCCAAUGUGCUUGUACAAAGCUGCUAAUGCUGCUAUAAAGUAAGUGUUUUGAAAUGUAUUUUCUAAUGUGGAGAAUACAAAGGACUUAUCCAGAAAUCCAUAAAUCGUUCCAAUGCUGAGAGAUGAUGUUAGGAGUCUUCCAAUGCUAGAGGAUCUCGGUAAUGCUGCAAUAAAUUACACAGUACAAUGUAGUAUGCUGCAAAUCUAUGUGACAAGGUGUUAUCUCAAAUCGACUUGAAAAUUAAUUUUCGGAUCCAGAUAUACGUGACUGCACUUGUCGCUGGUGCCUUCAUGACGCUUAGGACAUUGUUGGAUAACAUUCAUUCUGCCAGGAUCUGUUAAACGGAAAAUUCUGAAAUUCCUGUGGAGCGUCCACGUUCAGACGCGGGAAAAGAUACAAACAGGAGACGGAGUAUACCUGGAAGGAUCUUGAGGUGCCAUUACAAUUGCAAUAGCUUCUUGCAACAUCACCUGUCGAGGUGGUUUAACAACUUUUAAAGCCAAAAUGGACGGCCUAGUUACAUCAUACUGUUUCCUUGGGACGCAUUUGAGACUUGGAGCCAUGCUGCUGUUCAUAGUCACUAGCAUUAUCUCUUACACGCUUAGUUGAGGGUCCGAUUCUGCUUUCCGGGGAAGUUGGGUGGCCAGUCGCUGCAGCCCGCUCAAUGUUACCAUUAACAUCUCGGGCUCUAUCUCUAUCAUUACGCUCAACUUUGAAUCGUGGCCAACAAGUCUGCACAUAAUUGUCCACUGGGGUUUGGUGCUCUGCUCUGAUAUCAUUUUCGAUGAAUACUCAGACAUAUCCAGAAAGCUGCUUGAGCCUGCCCGAUGCACUGUAUCCAAAAUACUACUAUGCAAACGGAGGUCCCUGGCAUAGAGCUGCGCCAGCAAACUCCGCGGACAGAGAUUUGUGCCAGGAUAGUUUUCGACCUCCAGCUAUGAGCUACAGGUAAACUUCGCAGUGAAGGCUGCAGUCCCAAGUGUUGGUGUAUCCAGAUGUGCUCUUGGUAAAGGCUCAAUCAAAUACUAUGGCCUAAUGAGCGUCUCCACAAUGCUUUUACCCUCGCAAGCUUUGAUUCCGUGUAGAAUGUCAGCCUUAACUUCAGCCGCCACUGCAAUAGUAGCUUUUUUCAUAAGCUCACAAUAGGUCAUGAACAAAAGCUGAGACUUGGUAGCCUUCUUAAAACCAUGCUGUUUUCAAAGUUUGAGAAAGGCUAAGAAACAAAUUCUAGGCUGCCGAAAAUAAAAAAAGCUUUGAUUCUAGGUAGAAUGUCAGCCUUAGCUUCAGCCGCCACUGCAAUAGCAGUUUUUUUCAUAAGCUUACAAUAGGCCAUGAACAAAAGUUGAAACUUGGUAGCCUCCUUAAAACUGUGCUGUUUUCAAAGUUUGAGGAAGGUUAAGAAAUGGAUUUUAAAAGUCAAAAAAUAACUUAACUAAGUUUUGCAUAAUGUUUCAAAUCAACUGGCUGAACCACAACACGUGGACAAACCUUAUGAAACUUAAAGGCUUGAUUCCAUUCCACAACUUAUUAGUGUCAAACAUUUUCACAAAAUAUUUAAUAUUUUUUAUGUAAAACAUGAUUAAAAGGUUGCACAAUUUUUUUGGUUUGCUUAAGCAAACUUAUAGGGGGACUAGGAUGGUAUUGAAUAUACCUAGAAUAUACUUGGAUAUUCUAGGAUAUUCUACCAUCUAACGGUUGUUAUUCAUUUAGAUUAAUUUUGUAUUUAUAAUUUAUAAACAUGUUUAUAAUUUAUAAACUUUCUUAAACCUUUUCUAGUAUAUUCUUUUUAAUUCUACCAUCUAAUGGUUGAUAUGCAAUAAAAUUAAUCUUGUAUAUAUGAAUUACAAACAUGCUUAUAAUUAUAAACUUUAUUUGAUCAAUUAGAUUAAUAAGUAAUAAUAACACUAGUAUUAAGCAAACCAAGCGUUGCUACAUGCAACACGUAGCAAUUUAUUUAUCAAACAUUCAAAAUAUGACAGAUUGUUACCUCUUAUGAAAGGUGCUCCUUGACUAGUUUCUCACCAUUAAGUGCCAGCUUUCAGUACAACUCCACUUUUUCCUUAACUUCCCCUGAAAUCCUAUGUGAUCAACAGAUGCAAAAGCUGCCACCAAGUCUGCAUCAAAAUAGGUGCCAUAUGCGCCUGGCUUUGCAGCCUCCAUAAACAGUGAUCAACUUUGCUAGGCGGGAUAAAAGAAAGAUAUAGGUCCUUCAAUUCAGAAACCAUGACCAUCCAAUACCUCUUCACUUCUACAUUAAGCUUAGUGAUUCUCAUUUAUAACCAUGCCAUUGUACAAAUCCUAAGUGCCAAGCUCUUCCACUUCCAGCAUUUCCUCAUCAUCAAUAUUCAAAUCUGCUGGUGUAUCUUCCUCAUACCCCUGGUUGGUGAGUGUUUUACAAAGUGACACUGGUAGUCACAAUAAGCAACCCACGCGCAUACUUUGGGUUUGUCUUUGAUCCUGGUCCAAAAGCUCUUUAACAUACUAUCCAGCAAUGAUUCAUAAGUUUUUUUUGGUGCAUGACAACUCAUUAAAUUUCAAACCAUACAUUACAGUCCAGAGUACGCAUAUAGUUAUAGUUAAUUGUAUCCGUCAUGAAGACAUCCCUGAACUCGAUGCUUGUUCUCAACCAGCUCUCAUAUCUUGUAGUAGCGAAUGUCCAUAUGCUUGCUCCUGGCAUGGUAACGAUCUUCCUUGGUCAGAGCCAGUGCACUCUGAUUAUCUAAAUAGAGGAGGAGUGGACCAUCCCCCUCACACAGCAGAUCCUUGGAUAGGUGUUGCAACCAAAGGGCUUCUUUAGCAGCUUCAAAUAGUGAUGAAUUCAGCCUCUGUGGAAGACAUUGCCUACGACUAGACCAACUAACUGAAGCACCAUAGAGCAUGAAUGCAUAGCCAGUAGUGGAUUGUCGGGUGUCCAAAUCACCACCAUAAUCUGCAUUGCAAAAGCCAAGCACUGUAGAAUUUGCAGAAGCCUUGUACCUUAGAGCAAAGUCAUGUGUGCCUUGAAGAUAGCACAAGAUGCGCUUCAUCCAAUGCUUGGGGCCAGGAUUUUCUAAAAACAUGAGCUAUAUCAGGCCUUGUAGCAACGGCCAAAUAAACCAGGCUCCCGAUAGCUUGCUGAUAAGGCACACCACUCAUUGCUUCACGAUCACUUGUGGAUGAUGGAGAGGAAACAACAAAGAGCUUGGUGCCUAGCUCAAUAGGUGUUGGCACAUAUUUGCAAUCAGUCAGAUUGAACUGGCUGAGCACUUCUCUCACAUAGUGUGCAUGUGAAAGUGAAAUUGUGCUUACUUGACGAUCACAAAAUACUUGAAUACUGAGGUAGAAGUGAACUUCACCCAAAUCAAUCAUCUCAAACUCAGCAAAGAGCUUGGACUUGAGAGUGAGCAGCAUAGCUAGAGCAUUAGCAGCCAUUAUGCAAUUGUCAACAUAAAGUGCGACAAUCACAAACAGCUUGGCCACUAAAUAGGGGUGCACAUUUCCAUCAGCAGCACCUUUCGUGUAGCCAAGGGAGCAGAAGAAAGUAUCAAUCCGCUUAUACCAAGCUUAAAGACUCUGUUUUAAGCCAUAGAGGGUACACUUUAGUUUGCAAACUUGAUGUUCCGUACCUAGCUCCACAAAGCCAAUGUAGAUGUCCUCCUCAAGUUUGUUGUUCAAAAAGGCUGUUUGCACAUCCAUUUGGUGAAGUUUGAGGUUCCAAGCAGCUAUAAGCGUCAUGAUCAUGCAAAUAAAAGCUAGCUUCAUAACUAAAGAGUAAGUCUCUAUGAAAUCCAAUCUAGCCACCUGAGUGAAACCUUGUGCCACUUAACAUGCCUUGAAUUCCUUCAUGCUCAAAUAUUAAUUGUAAAAAACUGAGAACACCCAAUAGGUGUCAAUCAAAUGACCAUCAGUUGGCAGCUCUGUUUUGAUAAAGGUGCCCUUCUUCUCAUGAGAUUGCAUCUUAUUUUGCAUAGCAGCUAGCCACUUGUCUACAUAAGGGCCAAAAAGUGCUUGCCAUGCAUUAUGAAGAAUUGAAAUUGGUUCAACUACAAUAGUGUGAGCAACAAAGCCCACAAAAUGAGUUUGGUUGGUUUUAUGUCACCUUCAAUUAAAGAAGUCAAAAGACUCCAAAGCUUCUAAAGCAUGUUGCAUUUGUUCUGAUGAUUCUUUUUCUAGUGGUUAUUAAUUCUUCUUGAUGUUUUAGAAGAUCUUCUUUAUAAUUAGAUAAAAGAUUAUUACUGAUAAAUCUAAUAUCAUCAUCCUGCUGUGACACAAUAGUAGUCACAUCUUGUUCCCCCUUACAUUCAAUUUUUGAUGAAUCUACUAAAUCAGCCAUAGUAAAACUUCUCUGAUUGUGAAAAACUUAGGCAAAGAGAGACUUUUUUGAUGAACACAGCUAAUAAACUUAUAAGAUCACAAAUUUUAAUAAUAUCUGUAAUAAAAAUUAUAAACUGUAUAUGAUACUUUUAACCUUAUGACAUACAGAAACAUGACAUAUAAAAAAUAAGUUUCUAGAUUCUAGUAUAUCAUGAAAUUAAUUUGGAUUAGACGAAGUCUAACAUUAAGGAAUUCAAACUAGAAUAUACCCAACAAAUGCUUACUAGUUGACAAAGCCAUUUAUUCAACACCUGUUAGAUCUCCUCUCCUUCCACUCUAGUGGUGCUUGUUAGAAAAAAUUGAUGUCCACUAAUAGAUAUUUAUAUAAUAUAUUCACAAUCUUGACUUAUAUUAGUUUUUUAUAGUUUCUUUAGAAUGUGUCAAGCUCUACUGAUGACAAAUCCAGAAAGUUGAGAGCUCAGAUUGUUCUUGUUCUUUCUAUCUCAAAAUCCACCUUUCGAAAAACAAAAAUGUUGAAAUAAAACAUUCAAUGAUUUUACCAAAGAAAAGUCUACUAUACUUGCUCUAGUUCUCCUAUAAGACCCUAUGCCAGAAUAAAUGUUGUUUAAAACAAUUAAGAAAUAAAAAGGACUUCUCAUCAGACAUUUAUGAGCACAUCAUGUAUUUUAGCAUCGCUUCUCCAUUUGAAAGAAAGUAAUUCACUUGCUUGCAUCCUUGUACCUGUUCCCCAAUGAUUCUCUAACCAAUUCACACAAAACUAGAAGCUGAAACACCCUUAGUUGUGUUAGCUUCUCUCCACCAAGGUUUGCUAAUCUACUAAUCUCCCCUUGAUUUUUAUCACAUGACCUGCUCACAUUCCCCUAGCAAUGCUACUUUAACCCAAACCAAAGGGUUGAAUAAGGAGUGCACACUUCUGUCUUCUCUUGCCUCAUCCAAUAGCAAACAAAGGUGUGUUGCCAUGCUAUUGGAUGCCAAUACGUCAUCCUGAUUUUUUUUCAAACCAUAGCACCUAAAAAUUGCUUAGCAAAUAAUGAUUAGUUGACAAAGCCUUGGGGUCCCAAAGAUGAAUAUGUUUCUAAGAGCUAACCUCACCAACUUAGAAAUCUAUAGUAUCAUAAAUUUCGUGCACCAUAAAUGGGAACUCAAACCUUUUUAUCACAUCCUUUGAGACUGAAAGAUUAAUUACUUUCAAAAAUACUCUUACAAAAUCCAUGUCUGAAAGAUAAAACAUGUUAACACAAAAACUUGUUAGGACAAAGUUUACAAUGCCUCCACUUUUACUUCAUGAAGUUGAAGUUCUUGGACAAUGCAUAGUUCAAACAAAAAAUGAUUAAGUUAAAGUAAAUUAUAAAUGAAGUGAAUUUUUAACACAAACUUUCGCUUUCCCUUCCAUUCUAGGUUGAGCUUAACUAUCAUUGAGAACAUCAUUUAAACCUAGAGAUGCAAUAACAAUUGUGAUUGUUGGGAAGAGAGAAUAGAUAUAAACAGAGUCUAUGCUUUAAAUCAGAGAAAAUUAUCAAAGGCCUUCAAAUUUUUUAUAUUUAACUUAAUUGUAAAUAAUUUUUUCUGCAUUGAAAACAGUAGUGCUUAUUAUUUAUUAAUCUAAAUGAUUAAUUAAUUAUAAUUAAUAAUAAUUUAUUAAUUAAUUUAUAAGCACAAGAUUAAUCUUCUUAUAUAUCAACUAUUACAUGGUAGAAUAAACUAAAAUACACUAAGAAGUGUUUAAUAAAUUAUAAACAUAUUUAUAAAUUAUAAAUACAAGAUUACAUGAGGACUAUUUAUGGUCUGUUAUAUGACCAUCCACAGCCAUGUGCUGAGUUUUGUGACCAAAAUCUAGAAUUUCUUAAAUUCAUUAGCUUGUUCAGAAUUUAGUAGCAAAAACACCAUAACUCAUUUGGAUGGGAUAAGAGUUUUAGCAGAGAAUAAAAGCCAAACUCUCUUCUUAAAGUGAUCCAUUAGAUUGGUAAAAUAUCCCAGAAUAUACAAGUAUAUUUUAGAUAUAUUCUAAAACCUUUUACAAGCUUGCUUAAUCAAACCAAAAGGCCCCAAUUUUGUAUAAAAGCCCUGUGAAGUUUUAGAUAAGCCCCCUAUAUUAUAUUUAUAACUAGAAAUCGAUAGAAAAGUUAUAAGUAACUUCAAACUAAUCAUCAAUACUUUUUGGAGCUACAUUUGAUUUAUCCUCCACUUAUUACUUCAAGCAAUGUUAAUCAUUAAUGCAUCCUUGUUUCCCAAAUAUUUCAUCUCACCAUAUGAAUGCUAAACCAUCUCAAACCUAUUGUGGGCUUGGAGAUUGUUAAUUGUUCACGAAUAAAGCUCCUUUCAAAGUAACAUAUAGAACCAAGUGAACAAAGGUGUGUUCCAUUCUCUUACAGCAACAACAUCUGGAAAUGUCUUGGGACCAAACAUCUACUCCUGAAAUGUGUUCAGACUAGUGUCGUGAGCUGUAAGAAAACUGUGGAUUAAACCUAAAUUUAAUCUUCAAGUAAACUACACUCUCGGAAAUGCACUGUCAAUUCUAGGGUUACCAAGGAGUACUGAGGCAUAGAUUGGAGUGAGGAUGUAAGUUUCAAUGUUUAGCUUGACUUUUCUGUUUUGUGUUCCAGCUUAGUCCCAAGGCUAAUAGGAGCUGCAAGACUCCAUGGCCAAGUGGACAGGACAUAAUAAUCAUGGACAGGACAUUGGGUGAGGAAAGAUCCAGCGAAAUGUCAAGUGGAGCCAUUCGCACUUGCUCUUUAUUCUUGAAAUGUGUUAAAUUUAAGUGAUGAAUACAUUCGCACUAUGUUUUAAAAUAAAGUAAAUUACUUUACAUUAAAAUUUAGGAUAUUUUUUUUAAACAUUUUGAUUCGCACAUAGUGUUAACUUUAACACAAUGUUUUCACUUUUUAAAACAUUCAGACUGAUUUUAAAAGAUGGGUGGGGGGGGGGGGGUUCUUUUAAACUUAAAAUAUUUUUAAAAGGAAUCUCUAUGAUUCCUUGAAGAUUCCAGUGCCCUGAUUAGGGCAUUUCAGUUUUUUGCCGCAAGCUGCCAUGAGGUUAGGCAUUUUAUGGUGGGGGAGCCAACAGCAAUCAUUGCCCUAGGGUUAGAUCAUGUUGGGGAUUUGGUGGAGGAAGGAGGAGUAGCUGAUUUUGGGGAAGGAGGAGCUGUAGGCUUUGACGAGGAGAUGGUGUGGGUUUGGGGCAGUGGCAUCUAGUGAAGAGCAACUGUGGUGGAGGAGCAUUUGGGGCUGGAAGACGAGCACUAGGUCCAGCUGUCGCUCGAGGAGGUAGGCUGCCUUGGGGCUAAGGCCGUGGAGAUGCCGAUUUCUUGAAUCUUGGACAUAUUCAAAUGCUCUUUUGAAGACAUUUUAAAGUAAGUCAGGUGUGAAGUCACUAGUGUUUUACGUUAAAUUUUUACCACAAAAACUUUUGCAGGUGGGACUUAAAUCUUAAAACAACCUAAAAAUUACUAAUGCAACAAUCACAAAAAUCAAAAUACACAUUUUAAAAUAUUUUUAUAUAAAGCGCAAGUGUGAAUGGAGCCAUUCGCACUUGCGAAUGGCUCCAAAUCAUAAAUCAUCCAAAUGGCUCCAAAUCACAAAUCAUAAUAGUUUAUGAUUUGUUUUAAAUUCCAAGCCUAGCUUUGUUAACCACCCAACAUUCUGCUCUAGUUAUGCAAUACUAGUCAUAAAAUAUUUUCUGUUCUGCCAGACCAGGUGAGAAUCAAUGGUCCACGAGGAAGGAGUUAAGAAUCAAUGGCCCUGAGUGACGAUUGAAUGAGGGCUUUUAUUUCAUUUCCAUGCAUUCCCCGCCCUCUCUACUGUAAGUAGGGUUUUCAUCGUUGCCUGCGCGAUGUGCCAGAGAGUGAAAGCGCCCCGCGGCCCUUCAAUGGCACUGCGAUUGCUCCACCACUGCAAAGCUGUGGCGCCUUGUUGGCGCUGGCGGAGGACGCGGCCAAAGAGCUUCAAUGUGGCGCAGAGGCAUUGUGGUCGGAUCCAGGUGCGCCCUAGCCUCGUGGAUUUUGGAGUCGAAUGCAAGCAAUUCAUCUCGUGUUUGUGGCAUUGACAGGCAAGGACUGGUGCUCUUGAGAUUAAAUUGAGGAGCUCUUGCUUUUUCGCCUUUGCAGAUCUCUGGUUGGAAGUUGGGACCGAGAAAAGGCUGGCUGGUUGGUGAGAAAGGAAAAUCUUUUGGAAGGCUGCAUUGGCAUCUCUUCUCCUGGUAGGUUGUACGUUGGUUGUGUGCUUUGAUUCUAGGAAACAUAGCUAGGAGGUGUUGUGGUGUUUCUUACUCUCCGAUUGAGCUGAGUUUUUUUUUCUCUCUCGUGUUCUCGCAACACGAAACGAUGCAGGACGGUGAGAGUCGACGAGUACCGCUAGAGAAGGAUGCGAAGCUGCGGUAUGAGUUCGUAGAGCUGAGGCUUGACAGCUCGAGAGAAACUUAUUGGGGAAGAUGUUCAAUUGCACUAGGAGGGCGUCCAAGAAGGUCAAGGAGAAAGUGGACUUUAGUAUCCAUUUUCACGCGACGCAGGUAAGUCUUUUGUUUCCGCUCUUCGUGAAUUUCUCAUGUCUAUUGUAGAUUCAUACGGCAUGGGAUAAGCUGGCUGUGUCCCUUGUCUCCUUGGAUUCUGGAAAAGUGACUGGGAAAACUCGCAAAGCUUCUGUUCGAAAUGGUCAGUGUCAUUGGCCAGAUGCAGUUUUGGAAACUGCCAAGCUUAUACUGGACAUGAAGACGCAUAUGUAUGACGAGAAACUAUACAAGUUCGUCGUGGCCAAGGUAAUUCCUUUGCUUUUCUUAGACGUUCUCACUGGUACUUGAUGUUGCAGGGGUUUUCUCGCUCUUGUGUUCUGGGAGAAGUCAUUAUCAAUAUAACCGAGUAUGUCACCGCCGCUUCCCCAACGUCAGUAACUUUACCCUUGCGGUUCUGCUAUGCAGGCACUCUUUUACAUGUAAGUUGCUAGAUCCCGCAAAAGAACUCUUCUCACGAAGGGCGCUUGUUGGCUGCAGAUUAAAAUACAGUGCUUGACUCCUAAAUCCAUAAAUAAGCCGCUUUCAUGGAUUCACUCUGGACAUGUUUCCGAUACCGAAACAGAAAUGUAUUCUGCAUGUGGAACGUCGUUACCAUGCACAAACAGCCCCGCUCAUUAUCUUUGUCGGACGGUACGCAACGCUUCUUUUCUUUAGUACUUUGAAGAUCUUAAGUUGUGUUGUUUCCUUAAAAAUCUGCAGUUCAGUGUGGGAACCCAGUCACCAGUGGCCUCCAGUGCAACGGGCGAGUGCAGCCGCGUACUACCGUCAUCUCCCACUCAAAAUGCAGAGAAGAAGUCAGGGAUGAUAGCCAUUUCGUAUAUCUCUCUGUCUUCUCCUGCAAGGGCUGUCACCCCGCCGCCACGGGAUAGAGAUCAUCCGACACGCAAGGAUUCCGGGAGGGAACUAGAAAACUGGAAAAACAUAGCGGAGGCGUUGAAGAAGGAUUUAGCGGCUCAGAAGCAGGAGCUUGCGAACUUAAAGAUGGAUGCGGAUAUUGACAGAUCGUCUUACUUGGCGGAACGGAAUGUUCUCCACUCAGAGCUGGAGGAUUUAAAGAACCGGAGUGCCGAGCUUACGAAGAGAUCUGACUGCAAGGAACACAUAUACAUCAUUGACGAGCUCAAGGAGGAGCUGGGGUUGGAGAGAGACAAGAAUACCAGCUUGAACAUUCAGCUCCAGAAUCUGCGGAAGUCUAAUAUGGAGCUGCUUUUGGUUGUCCGUGACUUGGAAGACUCGUUGGAAGAGCACACCAGAGACACAGAGCGCUUGCUGAAGUGCAAAGUGUACAACAAUCCUUGCGCAGAGGGCGAUGCAACGCUUGAAGGGGAGGAGAGAUACAGCGAGUACAGCUAUGCAGCCGAGACGAAGAAUAUAGACAAGAUCCUCGACCUCAGCAGGAACAAUGAUCAGCAUAUGGAUGACGAGACUCCAAGGCUUAAGAUGUUUAUUUCGGCAGUUUCGGAGGACUUGAGCAACAUGAAGGUCGUGCUGGACGAACUUAACAGGCACACACAAGUUGGCGACUGCUAUGCGUCCGUGAAGGAACAGCUUCUUUUCGAUUUGAAGGCCCUGGUACAAGGCUCUGAAGAUCUUAUCGCUGAGCUCCAGAAAGAUAGUACCACAGGAGCCAGCGAAAUCACAAACAGAGGCAAGUCGACGACCGAUGGUGAGUCAGAAGAAGUAAAAACUUUGAACGCGAAGAUCAUGGAGCUCGAGAACUUAUCAAAGAUGCACCGAGAACAGGAAGUGUCCAGGCAGCUGAAAAUCGAUCAGUUGGAGUCACAGUUACUAGAGUUCGUACAGGAGCUGGAACACGUGCAGAAGUCCAACGAGCAGCUUGAAUCGCUCCUAGGCGCCGCGAAAACAGAGAAAGAACACUUGGAACAGAUGGUCGAAGAUGCUGAGAGCACUGAAUCCCUUUCGCAAAGAGUGGCAGAGCUCGAGGACCAAGUGCAACGCCUGGAAAUGGAAAGAGAGGACUACCUGCUGGAACGAUGCGUGGGAGAAAAUCUCGCAAGGGAUCUGUGCAAACGGGUGAAAAGCAUCGUGUCCGGCUCACAAAGUGAUUCCGACGAGAAGGAAAAGUUGGACUUCAUGUGCCAUAUGAAGGAGCUGAGACGUUCUUUUUCGCUACUUAUGAUCAACAGGCGAAACUCAGAGGACGAACUUGAAGCUCGCCAGCAUGACGACAAUGGAUCAUCACUCGAAGAGGAUGAGAUGCCAUUGACAAACAACGUGGAGCUUGUGGAUCCUGGUGAAGUUCUCAGGCUUCAAGAAGAGCUGGAGAAGAAGGCUGUGGAGCUGGAGGUCUUGGAUUCAAAGGUUGUGGAACUUACGGUGGAGAAGGGCAAAGUUGACGGCAUGCUAAGGAGCUAUAUGGACCAGGUAGAGGCCAGGGAGAUCAGGAUGGACCAGCUGGAAGCUAAACUAGUGAACUUUUCCCAGGAACUGAACAGCAUGCAGGAAUCCAACGAACAGCUUGAGUCGGUUUUGGAAGCAACAAAAGCUGAGAAACAGCGGCUGGAAGUUUUGGUCCAAGAUGCGCACGAAGAGAGUAGGAGAGAAUUGCAAGACUCGGAGGCUCUUUUACAAAGAGUGACAGAGCUCGAAGCACACUUGAAGCGCUUGGAAGGGGAAAAGGAGGCCUACGCCCUCGAAAGAAGCGUGGCUGAAAACCUCGUUCGUGACUUAUGCGAGAAGCUACAGGCUGUUACAUGCAACGUCGGCAGGGCUGAGUACCAAGAGGAGGGCGACUGCAAGUUCAUCUCUCAUGUCAAGGAGCUGAGGAUAUCGUUCAGUUCGCUUGCUCAAAUGGCACGGCACUCGGAAGGUCGCCUUCAAGAACUUCAGUUCACAUGCGGCUCGCUGGAAGAUAGGCUGGUGAAAGAAUACGAGAAAACAUUGGGUAGCAUCGCGUUCCUGGACGAGCAGUUUGGCCAGCUUUCGAAGGAGUCGGACCAGCGGAUCGAAACUUGCAAUCGAGAGCUUGAAGUGCUACUGAGUAAGCUGCAACAGGAGCAAGAAGAGAAAAGAUCGCAAGGUUUCUUAAGGGUGGCGCUCGAGGAGAAUUCAUGCGAGAUCGCAUAUCUAAGAGACGAGUUACGACGGCUGAAGGAGCAAAACGCGGCCAUGAUUCGGGAGAGAGAAGCUUUUAAGGCGGAAAUUCAAAGUCUCGAAGCUGAGAGUGUUCAAUGGCAAUCAACGUUGGAGGAGUUGCAGGAGCAGUUUGAACACUUGCAAGGUGUUGGACGGACCAAGUCUCAACUGGCAACGACCGAGGAGGCGUUGAAGGCUCUUGUGUCCGAAAACAGAAGCUUGGAGGAGGUGCUGGAGAGAAAAACUACUCAGCAUUGCAAGGACAAAGAAGAAUGGCAGAGAAAGCUCGCAGAAAUGCAGGAAAAGGUUGGACGACUGGAGGCGUCCACAAGAACAGAGGAACAAGAAAUUCUCCUGGAGCUUGAGGUGUUGAAGGCCGACUUGGAAAGUACCACGAAAACGUUGAUCGGGCUCCGAACAGAGAAAACAUCGUUGGACGGGCAGGUGAACAAGCUUCAGAUGGAGGUCGCAGGCCUCACGGGACAAAAUGUUUCUACAGAGCUGACGCUGACGAAUCUGGAAGCCGAACUUGAGCAGUACAAGACGUUGAUUAUCAGCCUGAAAGAGGAGGUUGCAAGUGCUGAAAAGAAACUGCGAGCUGAACGUGAUCACCGAGAAGACACUGCGAAUAAGUGCAUGCGACUUACAGGCGAGAUUGAAGAUUUAAAAUGCAAGUUGCUCGAAUGCAGCAAUUUGGAUUGUAAGCUUCUAAGCUUGCAGGAAAUGAUAGAGGUAUGUUCACCUUCUUUUACUAUAGAUGUAACGAUCUGAUUUUAUUUUUAUGUUUUGAUUUACAGAGCAAGACCUCCUGUUUAGAACUUCACUGGAAGUCGGCACAUCAAGGCUUCCAAGCCAAGGAAUCAGUGAUAUCGGAAACUCUUGGGCACCUGGAGGAAGCUUAUAAGCAGACGACGAUUUCCUUUGAUGCGGUCGUUUCCGAGCUCGCAAAAUGCAAGUGCCUGAAUUCCGAGCUUGAGGAGAGCCUCAAGACGCAGACGGAGGCAAAGAAGCGAACAGAGGAAGAAAGCUGGCAUUUAAGGAGGGAAUAUAAAGCCAUGGAAAGCAGAUUAUCGACGCUGAGUGAGGAAAAAGAAGAAGAGGUUCGUAUCCAGCUAGUCGAAGUAAGGAACCUUCAGAGAACAAUCGCGCAGCUGGAGGUACAACUACGACAACUUAGUUUAUCCAUGCUCACGUGAGUGCAUUGCGUGUAGGAUGACAUUACGAGGAAGCUGUGCGAACAAAGAGAAAACAGUGUUUCAAUAUCGACGCAGACAGAUUGUAGCCAGGGGCAAGAGGUACUAGUUUCUAUUCACUAUUAUUUUCUCCUCGUAAACUAUGUGGAAAAUAGACAGCAGAAAGGAGCACCGAGAACAGUAACGAAGUUCAGGACAUGAAACAUGGUCGUCGCAAGUGGAAACAACAACAUGACGACCAGGACAUAGAGCUCCGUUCAAAGAUUGCAUCGUUGGAGGUAAGCUAAAGUCACUGCACGUUUUACAUAGCUAACAAUGUCUAUUCCAGGCCGAGCUUCAUUCGAAAGCUGUCUGUUUAAGCUCAACGCUGGAGAAGUCACAAGAAAGGGAGGCUACGUUGUGUGAAAAGAUUGUCCAUUUGGAAGCUGCCAAGAGGACCCUUGAAGACGAAGUCGGCAACCGGCGUGAUGAAUCUGGACUUAUGAAGGCACUAGCAGAAGUGGAAGAAUGCAAGCUCGCCAGGGCCAGCCUCGAGAAAACAAUCUCUCAUCUUCAAUCACAAGUGGAGAGCGAUAAACAUCUGCUGGCGGAGAAGGAGUUGGAGUGUGCACUUUUGAAGGAAGAAUACGGAAAACUAAAACUUGCAAUCGCCGAGUUGCAAGAAAAGCAUGCUACACUGGUGAAGAUGGUUGCUUCUCAAGAGGUAAGCCUGUUUUAAAAAAUGAAAUUUCUGUGCUCUAACCAGGAGGUACUGUACGUUAGGUGGAAGCUUCUUCAAAUUCUCCUGGCUUGGAGCUUUUGAGGUUCGAGUUUCAAGAGAAGGAAGCGUUGCUUUGGAAGAAAAUAGAAUAUCUGGAGCUGGCUAAUGAGCAGCUCGCUGGUCAACAAGUGGAUUCUGGACUGGAGCAACUGAAGAGAGAGGUACGUGUCGAGAUGUAAUGGUUUUAUCUGAUUUAUUUAUCUGAUCGUCGCUGCAGCUCACUCGCUUGCAAAAUCACAAUUCAGAGCUAAUCCGCCGGGAGCAUGAGCUAACGUCGAAGCUGAGUGCGUACGAGCUGUUGCAGCUUGAAUUACAGCGUUUGCAAGAGGUCGAGUUCAUUCAUUCUUUUUCUCUUGCUCUCCUUCGCUUGAAAGCAUUUGUCCUGUUUUUUUUUUUUUUUCUUUUUCCAGGACAACGAGCAGCUAGAGCAGAAGUUUCUGAAACUCAAAGAUGCCUCGCUGUGGGGGGACACACUCGAGCGGCUUGUGUACCUGGAGACGGAAUUGGCCGAGGCAUUGGAGGCCAACACCAUGUACAAGCUGCAGCUCCAGAGGUAAGGCAAGUUUUCCCGAUUGGCUGCUCCAAUUGUCUGCUCUGGAUGGAUGCAGCGUCUUUGCCAAGAGCGUCUCGGGUGCUGCUGCUCAAGGUACGAGUGAAGUUGAGGGAAUCAUAGCCAACCUCGUGAGCUUCAAAAAGCAGACACUGUUCCUCGAGGCAGAGCUCAAGGAGAUGCAAGAGAGAUACCUGAGCAUGAGCAUGCGAUACGCGGAGAUACAGUCGGAGAGGGAGGAGCUCGUCAUGACUGUUAAAGCGCUGAGAUCGUCCAAACAGUGACUUGCGUGUCUGCCUAACUCGUAGGAAGAUGUGACGUUACAAGCGAUGUAGGUACUUUCUUUCUUUGCUUGUUUUUGUGCUGAACCUCACUUUGUGUGGUGGUUUUUGUUUCAUCCAGAUACGAGAGGAUCCUCAUCUCUCUGUUUCUUUUGUGGAGGUUAUUAUAAAUAAGAGAGGUGGUGAUGUUGCUUUUCUUGUUCUUGUUCUUGUUGUUGACCAUAACUUUUAAAAGACGUUUAUGUUCUCGGAACCUUCGGUGCCGUUACAGAUUCAGUGCUUAAGUGUGUUUUUUGAUGCGAGCACGGAGCAGAGUGAGAGCAAAGGUCUGCUUUUGUUUCUUUCGUUCUCAAGAUUGUACUAGCUACUGAGGUUUGCUUUUCUUUGUCCGAGCGAUCUCAUGAGGACACAGGGAAUGUAUUUUGGGGCCCAGCGGAAUCUCCCAAACGGGCUAUAUAGCUACUUAAAAAUAUCUUUACUUCCUAUGGACCCCGAGAAAGAGACCACCUCUUGCCAGCCGUCGGGAAAACGUGGCGAACCACACAAGCACAAGGUAGCGUUGCUACAAAAAUCUGGCAUAUAUACUUACUUAUAUACACAAGACUUGCAUUUGCAGUGCCACCUCGCGGGGAAGAAUAUCUAACGUCAGUGGGAGAACGCGUGUCAUCAAACGCUGACGACAUGGGAAGUGGUUUCCCAGAUCUGGAUGAUUGAUGAGAGAGGCGAUUAAGUUAACAGCAAGUGGCCGGCUUCUAAGAUGGAACAUUUGAUCCUCUGGGAGCAGCAGCGCAGUGAAAAACCCAGGAGUUGGAUGAACAGUGAACUGGGAUUUAAGGAGGACAAGUGAGCUAUGAUGAUAUACAAUUCCACGAUCUAAGAGUCAGUCAAAUAUUUGAGGAUUAGAGGAGUUCCGUCAGUGAUGAUCGCCUUGGUGGGACUGUUGCGGAAGAACAGGACGGAAACCAUGUCGGCUAGCCGGUUGGAGAAAGGGACUUGAGAGCGGAAGUGGAGGCCUUUCCGGAAGAGAAAACGUCGACGACGUCGAUGAGGAAGAAGGCCUGGAGGACGACGAUGACAGGUUUAUAGCCGUGGACGCGGCCACGGCGCCGAUGAGAAGCUGGAGGCCGAAGUUGUUUAGAGUCCAGGAAGUUUGCUGGAUGAACUGGUGCUGCUCGCGAUUAUCCGCGAGCUUGUUGGAUCCCUGGACCAACUUUGCCGGGGGUUUUGGAGCGGUGCACUCGAUGGCUUCCACGACUUUGGCGAAGGUAUCGACGCUGGCAACCGCCUCGUCCGAGGCUCCCUUGCCCGUCGCGGUGGCGGCGGUGACGUGCUUGCGGUUGUUGAUUGCUCCCUUGAGGAGCGCUCGCGAGAAGAGCUUGGCGAUGGCGGACAGGCGUCGCGCCUGCUGGACUCUCUUCAUCAUCCGGGGGCUGAGAGACAAAGGCUUGUGAGACCCGGAACUUGUGAAGGCUUGCUGGAUCUUUUGCUGCUCGCCAGCGAUAGUGCCAGCGCCAGCUCCAGUUCCGUGACGCAAUGGAACCGAUCUAGAGUUUCUUUCCGCCCAGGCGGUUGGGAGCCCGGAGCAAAUCAUCUCGACUUUACCUGCGGCGUGGUUCCAGAAAUCCACUGCAGCGCCCUCGUCGCGUUGAUCCCAGUGGAACCUGGCUGAGAAAAGGAAAACAAAGAUGUGAUCUCUUCUUUCUCGAUCCAAUCGAGCUUACCUCCCACUUCCUUGGAGCGAUCCUCGUACGUGCAGUACUUCUCGAGGAAAAGCUCCAGCUGGUCGAUGGCACCGGAGAAAUCGUCCGAAGAAGACGAGGACGAAGACGAAGCCGAUGCGUCGGGCGUGGCGCGAUCGAGGAGGAGGCCGUAAGAGAAUCCGGGCAGGCAAAAGCUAUAGCAUCCCCGGCCGAGCUUGAGAACCGGGCAGUCCUUUCCAACGGGCCACUCCACAUCCUUGACGGUCGCCACCACCGCCGCCAGCGGCGAAUGCAGCUGCUUGGUGAGGACCAGCUUGAAAUCGCCGCGCUGCAUCGCGACGCUCUCCUCCUGAUCCACCAGGAAGAGCUGCGCGUUCUUGAGAGUGAGGAGCUCGAUAUCAUUGCCGCGAUGAUCGCUUCUGUCUGAGGAUUGUCCACCCAUUGCCGCUACUCGACACAAACACUGCUCGAUUGAUUGAUCGAGAGAGGAAAUUUUCCUCAGAAUAGAGAGGAGGAGAUCGCCAAGAAUUCUCUGGCAUUGUAUUCGCGUGCUAUUUAUAUGGAUUUGCGAGGCUGCCAAGAGGAGAGGAAACCGGCUUUCUUUACAAACACAUGGGUCCAUGGAUGUCUCUACACGGUUGGCCAGGAAGGACGCGUGGCAGUGCCCGCUGAGGUGGCACGACGCUUGACCCACACGUGUCACGAGGUCGUGCCAAGGGACUUAUGGAUGUCUUGCUUAUCUAAGUACAUGAGUAAACAAUACGUUGUAGUAAAACAAUCAACCCCUUAAAAAAACAAUAGAGAUGAUAUCUUUCAUUUGAAGAAUUUAUUAUUUGUUGUAGCCUUCGAGUUCUUCUUCACCACCUUUAAUUUGUUAUUGUAGCCCAUGCUACAAAAUCUUGAUGUUUCUCGCAGUAGCCAUCAAGCUCUCGAUCUUUUGCCUUGGUUCUUCCAUGGCUCGCCGGAUCAAACCCUCGAUGCUGUGCCUGGAUAGACGAUCCGUGCUCGUCUUGGACACCCUCCACGCAACCUGGAGCUCUUCCACCAUCCUCGAGUUUAGAGCCUGGUCCGAAAAGGAUGGCAGCGUGAGCAUGAGCACCCCCAUGCAAAGGCCCUCCAAGACCGAGUUCCAUCCACAGUGCGUCAAGAACACCCCGGUGGAUUCGUGUCCCAGGAUGGCCAGCUGAGGAACCCACGAAUCACGAACUACGAGCCCCCGCUCGCCUCUAAAUCCCUCUGGAAGAACUUCUCGAUCCGCCGAUGACGAGUCUGGCGAUCGCAAGACCCACAGGAACCUCUGCUGGCUUGCCUCCAAUGCAAACGCGAGCUCUUCGAUCUGAUCCAGGCGCAGCAGCACUAUGCUUCCCAGUGAGAUGUAGACGACGGAGCGGCGGGGCUGCUUGCUCAGCCACAGCAUGCACUGCUCUUCCCUGGACACGAGCUCUUUCGCUCGCCUGCUCAAAACUUCUUCCCUGGGGAGUAAAGGACCGACCGGAAGGAUGCGUACCGAGUUUGGAUUGAGUAGCCUGUUGUCUCGAACUGCCGCGAGUGCUGCCCCUUCCAGAGCUUCGAAGGUGUUGAUGAGAAUUCCCGCUGCUUCGUGCACUCGCAGGCAGUUCUUGAUGUAGAAGUCCUGAAUAGACUUUGGAGUACUGUCGAAGAGGGCGCUGUGUAUAUCUCUUUGCUCUCGACGAAAGCUUCUUCUCCUUCCACAGUCGAAGCUGGCAGUGGAAGCCGAGACUGAGAGAGGAGGGCUUUGACGUGAAACGCUCCAGCCAAGAUGGAAGCCGGAGAUGGGUAGAAGAUGUACCGGGGAACCCCCAGCCUGUUGGCGACGUCUUGAGUCCAGCUGACUAGCAUGUCGCUCACUAUACACAACCGAGUCGCCGGAGGAGAAGCUCUCUUCAUACUGCCCACCAUCUCCUCAAACUCUGCCUCGGCCUCCAAGCACUGGGGCAGCAUGAAGUGAAGAGAUUCGGCGUUGUCGUGGCCAGUCCUGCUAAAAUUUUGUGGAGGGAGUUGCUGUCCACGCAGAGCCACAACUCGCAGCGAAUUUCCAUCGGCUUUGAUCCCGAAACCUUCCAGAGCCUCGUAGACGCGGGGAAGACGGUCCUCGAAAGUCACGAAACUUACAGUCAUCCCGUUCUUCUCGACCAGCCGCUGAGCAAGCAGCAGUGAUGGACCUACAUGUCCCUGAGCUGGGAAUGGAAACAAUACCGCAUGGACCUCGACCUGCUGCUUCUCUCCCUCAAACGAGUACUCCAUUGUUCUUCCACAAAAACCCCUUCAGCGAGUCGUGAGAGGACUUGACUGUCGAGCUUUUGCCCUUUCGAAAGACGAUGAUUUGUCCUUGCUUAUUCCGUAGUCAGGCUUCUCAUCAGCGAGAAGUAUGUGGCAGCGUCCGGAUUGCAACCCUUCUCCAGCAUCAGUUGCAUCACCUCGAUCGCCUUCUCGACGUUUCCAGACUGACAGAAGCCCGAGAUAAGAAUGUUGUAAGCAAGCUUGUCAGGCUCGCAGCCACUGUCUCGCAUCGUCUUGAAGCACUGAUACGCCGCAUCCAUCUUGUUGAUCUUGCAGAAGCCAUCGAUCAAGCUGGUGUAAGUAGCCACGUCCGGAACGCAUCCUUUCUCGAGCAUCACGUCGAGUACGUUGAUGGCAUCCUCCACUCUUUUCGUCUUGCACAGCCCGUUGAUGAGAAUGCUGUACGUGUAGAGAUUCGGCUCGCAACCUCUCUCGCUCAUAACCUGAAGCAUCUUGAGCGCCUCGUCUCCUCUCUCCACGUCGCAAAGGCCACCGAUGAUAAGUGCGUAGUGCGAGCUCGUCGGAGGACACCCUUGCUUUGUCAUCAGAUCCAUAACCUCCUGCGCUUCCUCCACUUUCCCUGUACUGCACAGCCCCUCGAGCAUACUGCUGUAACUCGCCUUGUCCGGAGAGAUCCCAAGGAUGGCAAACGCGUCCUGCAUCCGGUUGGCCUUGCAGUAACCAUCGAUGAGAGUGCUGUAAGUCACAACAUCCGGGGUGCACGAGACCUCCUUCAUCAGCUCCAGCACCUUGUGACCUUCAUCAACUUUCCCAGCCUUGCAAAACCCGUCGAUCAUAGUGUUGAAAGUCACCAGGUUCGGCUGGCAGCCGCGCUCGAGCAUCAUCUCUAGAAGCAGCCGAGCGUCGUCCACCUUCCCCAGCUUACACAGCCCGUUCACCAGGAUCGAGUACGUCACCACGUCCGGAGCACAGUCUUUCUCAACCAUCACCUCCAAGAGCUCGUGCGCCUCCUCCAACUUCCCGGCCUUGCAGAGCCCAUCGAGGAGGCAAUUGUAAGUCACCAAGUCGGGGGAGAUCCCCGCCUUAAACAUGUCCUCCAUGACCCGGUACGCAUCCGCUAGCCUGUCCGCUCUGCUGAAUCCGCCGAUGAGCGUCGUGUAAGUUAUCACGGUCGGAGCACACCUUCUUCCAACCAUGUCUUCCAGCAGCCUCUCAGCCUCGUCCAUCUUGGAAACCUUGCAAAACCCGUCCAUCAGGCUGUUGUAAGUCACCACAUCCGGCCCACACUUCUUCUCUAUCAUCUUCUCGAGGAUCUUGCCAGCCUCUUCAUACUUCCCGGACUCGCAGAGACAAGCCACCACAGUGUUGUAGCUAAACGUAUCCGGCUCCCGUCCAGCCUCCACCAUCUCUUCCAAGAGCUUGCUCACCUCCUCGAGCUGGUUUUGCUUGCAGAGGCCAUUCAAAAGCGCGUUGUAAGCCACGGUAUCCGGCGUCAAGCCCGACUCCUUCAUCUUCUCCAUGAGCUUCCUUGCUUCGUCCAAGGCAUUCGUCUGGCAGCACCCAACGAUCAAGGACGUGUAAGUGAUCACGUCCGGAACGCACGAUCUCUCCAGCAUCAUCUUCAACACAUUUCUGGCAGCGUCGAUCUUUCCCAUCUUGCAAAGCCCAGCGAUCAAGCAAUUGUAUACCGCAGCGUCGGGGUGGCAGUCCUUCUGGAUCAUCUCGUCCAGGAGCUGGUAAGCUUCAUCGAUCCUCUGGCACUGGCAGAGGCCAUGGAUGAGAAUGCAGUACGUGAAGGCCGUGGGAGAGCACCACAUCUUGCCGCGGAAAUGCGAGAGUGCUCGAUCCAAGUCGCCGAUCUGGCAGUAGGCCUUGAGGAUGGUGUUGUGGGUGAUCACGUCGGGGGAGAAUCUCCGCGCCAGCAUCUCGUUGGCGAUCUCCAGCACCAUCUUGGAGUUGCCAGCUCGAGAGAACCCUGUGAUCAGCGCACCAUAAGUCGAGUUGCUGGGCUUGGAAGGAUCGCUGAAUCUCUCCCGGAAGAAGGAGUAGCCCUCGAGGGGCCUUACCUUCAUCAGGAGGCGAAGCAUCUGGUUGCAAGUGAAGGUCGUGUGCUUGAAAGACCGCUCGCGUUCCACCCAUUUGAAGAAGAGCAUUCCGGCAUCGGGAUUCUUGACGCUCCUCAGCACAUCGGCCACGGAUUCAGCCGCAAAAACCCCUGGAACGUUACCCAGCGCUUCCUCCAGAUCCUCGAUGUCGUAAUCCUCCACAAUCCCGAGCAGCUGAUGCGAUUUCACGACCUCGGGCGACUUGGCGCCACCGACAUUUCCACUCCACGCUCGCAUUCUCCCCGGCGCCGUCGCCUUCGGUCCUGCCAGCGUCUGGAGCAACCGUCUCGACGCUCCAGGGCGGCGCAAGGCGCUUCUCCUCAUGAUCGCCGUGCCGCGCCAUGCAUCCUAGAACCUCUCAAGAACCCUAGAAUCUCAAGAUUUUAGGGCUAUGGCCGGGAUUAUUAUGAAUUUUAAACGCUCAACCUAAUUAUCCGACAAAGGUAUGGGCAAAGUGGAUAUACCACAGGACAAAAGAUGAUACGAUGCCAAAUGUAAUGUGAGACAAACUAGCAUGUACAAGACAAUUCUCAUCCUCCACUCUGGCCUUCUCCCUUUGGAGGUCCUAGCAUAGCAGUAGCAAAUUCACACACCAAUUACUCUAGAACGAUUUAGAAACAAGAGUUACCUGCUUAAAUCUUUGGCAAAGUAAGGCAGAUGCAUCUCCAUGCUGUGCUGAACGCUCGACGUUAAAACCAACACUAUCAUAAAAUGCCAAACCAGGGAGAGAGAGGUUGCAGGCUUUACCGUCUUCACGGCCACACAGCCUGGUGCUCACCCAUGCCAGUUCCAAGGACAAGAAGAGGAUGCACAGUUUUCAAAUGGUAGCCCAGGUUCGCAAGUAGGGUGUCAUGCCACAGAUGUUUAGAUUUGAUGAAAUUGAGGCACAGCAAGUAUUGGAAAGGGAGUUGCAGCUACGUAUGCUAUCGGAGGUUGAGUGUAGUCAUGUGGAUUUCAGCGCUAUGACUUCUUUUUGAGCCUUUCACUGCCGUUUGUCUCAAGGAUGGCACUGACAGCCUCUAGUACUCAUCUCUUUCGCGAAAGAAGAGAUUUUUUUAUGCUGUCCGUGAGAUAUCCAAGCUGCAAAAGAGUACUUAAAACACGAAAGAAGGUGGUGGCUUGCUUACCAAAAUGCCAAGAACUAUAAAGGCUUCUGUCAAAGGUGUUACAUUAGAUGGUGAUGUCUCAGGUAUGUAAAUUGAUACUCCAGGUUGCAAAGAAGAAAGAUGACAACCUUCUCAGAACAUUUUGAGAGACCUUGUGUGUUUUGCUCACCUCAUGGCGUUUCAUCUCAAGAUGCAAGAAAGAAAACACGCUAUGGUGCAUCACCUCAGCGUUAUGCUUUACUUUCAGCAUAGCAUUCUAGUUUGAGAUCUUAUAUUCAAUGCUCGUGUAGCUACUCCUCCGCCUUGGCAAGCUUGGAGUUCUACAAAACAAGAUGCCGUUGUCGAGAAUAGGAAUUGGAAGUCAAUUUCCAGGUCACUCUUGACGCAGGCUUAUUCUUGAAGCGAUCAAGGGACAAAGAGCCCACAUUCCUGGCAUAGAUCGCUUGAAAUGUCACCUGCUGUGCGCUUGAGAAAGUUCCUUGGGGUUGGUGAUAUGUGCAUGCCGUAUCCCUCCUCGUGAGGAAGCGUCGUGCUGCGCUGGUGGGCGGGCAGCAGGAGGAGCAUAGCGGCGGUGGUGGGAGAAACACAUUUCUUCUAGGGUUUAUAGGGAAUGAGGAUCCAGGCGGGAUGACCAAAUCUUGCGGCUAUGGUAUUCGGAAGUGUGCAACACUGGUAUUGUGUUUUCCUUGCACGAUCCAACUAGAUUUUGAUCGUUGAAAGCGAUGCUACGCUCUCGAUCUGACAAUCAAAACAACUCUAGGAAGAUCCCUGCAAAAACCAGGGGAAGUGCAUGAGGUACAGCAGUCGCACUUUAGGACGUGACCGAUCGUCGCCAGAAAGCAGUAAGUUGAAUCUCCUACGGCAUCGCACACAAACCUCUGCCAGGACGCGGAGAAGUUGUGCAAAGUACUCGAUCACAUCCGCCCCGGAAGAUGGGUAUCGAAAAUUGAACUCAGGACCUGUCGCACCCUAAGCGAGAAUCAGAUCACUAGGAUCAAAAUAAUAAACGAUUUACUAUGCAAAUCUUUUGCUACUUUACAAGAAAUAGUUUACGAAAAGCACCAAAAGUUGCGGUUAUACACGGCAUAUUUAAAUUGGAUAAGGUGCUUGCUCAACACAGUCACAUUCAAACCAGUCUACACGGAACAUUUCAGUCUUUGGGCGAGGUCACGGGGAUUGUUGUUAACGAUGGGGUCGCAAGCAAACCCGUGCUGCACGAUAGACCAGUUUUCUCUUCUUUGAUUUCCAUGUCCACACGUUACGAAGUCAUUUAAAAGGAACCUCAUCGAUCUGCAAAUCAAAGAGUUUCUCACUUGAUUAAUUUUUUCUUCUUUUUCCACUUCGAAGAAUGUCAGAAACAGAAGCAUUGCUGCUGAUGGUAUGCUUCUUACUUGCUUAUGCAGCAGCAGAUCUCAAUGAGGAGAUGAGAGAUUUUCUCCGAGACGUGAAUCCUCCGUUUGUCACAAAUCAUACGGUUUGUUUCCUCAUUUUCAGACCCAUGUGAACACAUAGAUUCCAACUUGCAGUUAUCAAAUGGAGACAUCAUCCUCUGCGUCCCAAUUAAAAAUCAACUGUCUCUAAGAAACCAGACACUGCAGCUUCUGGUAAGCUGUCCAACAUGGAUGAAAACUAAUGAUUUCUCGUCUAGCCUCCUCAAAUGAUGAGCAAACAAGAGCACAAUCGAUCAGAAAAUUCCGGUCAGCUGUUUGGUUUAGAAGUUGGAUCGUGCAAGGAAAACACAAUACCGGUGUUGCACACUUCGAAUACCAUAGCCGCAAGAUUUGAUUCUGUGAGGAAGCUAACCAAAAAACAUUCCUCUGGAAAAAAUCGAGUGCCAUUGGCUGAUGAAGAACCUGGCGUAGAAACUCACGAGGUAAUACAGUAAUCUAGCAGGAUCUGAUCAAAACUCUCAAGAGUUGAUGAUACUUUGCAUGACCAUGACAGCAUGGCUACAACCAGUUGAACGGCAACUUCCGAGGGAUGGAAACAACUAUAAAUGUUUGGGAGCCAUACGUGGAAAAAACUUCCGAGUUCAGUCUGGCACAGUUAUGGAUCAUCUCAAAAAAAUUAGGCCCAUUGAACACAAUUGAAGCUGGAUGGCAGGUAUGUACGCACUUCUAGAAAUCAGUCAUAUUCUUAUUUACUGAACCUUUCUUGAAGAUUUAUCCUAAAUUCUAUGGAGGAACAGGACCUCGACUCUUUGUCUACUGGACGGUAAACCAGACUGGUAAUAAAACAUUGUAUAAGCAUUGUCAAUGGCAGGCUGAUGGCUACGAUAAAACUGGCUGUUAUAACCUGCAAUGCCAAGGCUUUGUACAAACAAGCAACAAGUACGUACUAGGAGGAUCAUUUUCGAGCGUAUCCACUCCAGACUCUACACAAUAUGAGAAAACCUUAUGUGUUUUCCAGGUCCAUAGUCCAGACUACGUAAAAAACAUGCAUAAAAGCUAUUAAAUGGUUUUGAAUUUUUCAGGACGAUAGCUCAAAGAAUUGGUGGCUACAAAUUGACGGGGAAAGUAUUGGAUACUGGCCUGCAAGCCUUUUUCAAUCUCUACAGAAUGGUGCUGAGACAUUGGAAGCUGGCGGUGAAGUCUGCUAUGAUAAAGAAAGUGGAGUAAGACACACAAAGACUGGUAUGGGAAGUGGAGAAUUUCCAUCCCAGGGAUAUCUUAAAGCUGCAUACCAGAGAAGAAUACAGUACCUGGAUUCCAAUGGAGUAAUGCAGCCAGCAAUUGGGAUGAAAAGUGGAGCUGAAGUACCUAAAUGCUACACUGCUACUAGUGUUGCUGCUGACAAGGGAGAUAACUGGGGUGCAUAUUUCUUCUUUGGAGGCCCUGGAUAUAGCAACCAGUGCCCAUAAACCUUGCAAAAGGCAAAAAAGUGUAUAAGCUGAAAUAAAAAAAAUUAUGAGAUCUACAUAAGUUGAAGAGUUGAGUUUAAGUUUUAAUUGUAGUUUAAGACAAACAUUAUAAACUUUAAAAUAUUAAAGUUAUAGUGAACUUAAUAAUUUCACAAACUCUCUACACAUUAUAUAUAUCAAAAUGUUAUCAAUAACACUUCUCUCUACACAUUAUAUAUAUCAAAUGUUAUCAGUGACACUUCUUGUUCUAAGGAACUCCAGAUGCAAAAGCUUUAUUAGCUGUUCCAAUAGUUUUAUAUAAUGCAGAUUUUUGGUGGUGGAAUUGGCUUGAGGAAUUUUAUAUUGCAGAUAAGAAACCACUAGUGUUUACCAUGGAUGAGUUUGAGGUUGCUUUUUGCUUACAUUUUUCCCCUCACUAUGACAUGGAGAAUGCUCACACAAAACUUCAAUAUUUUUAACAAGGGAAAAUUAUGCUUAAGGACUAUAUUAAGAAGUUUAUUUGCUUGAUUAGCCAUAUUCUAAUGAAGGAUCUAGAUCAGAACAAAUCUUACUUUAUGAGAUUUUAGUUUAAAUCUACCUUUUGCAUUGUUUAAAUCUUCCUUUUCUUAUAGUUUUUUUUAACUUCUUAUCUUUCACUCUUUCCUUUUCAUUCACCUUUAUGGUAGAGUAGUAACUUCCUCCUCUUUUGACUCUAGAACAACAAUUAAUGCAAUUAUUUGAUGUUUUGUAGUUGUAGUUGAACAAUGAAACUCAAUUGAUAGCAACAUUCACAGUGUAGAAUACAGUGUAAGCAACUAAUUUUUCCAUUCUACUUUAGUCAUUUAACCACACCUUUAACCACUUGGAGGAGUCUCAUUCACAACCUCCUUAAAUCCAAUUUAGGACUUGGGACUUGCUAGCCCCGAGAAUGGCAUCCAUACCACUCAUCCCUUGCACUUAGUCCAAGUGCUCCACGUGUCCAGUCCCAAGACCAACACCCAAAAGUACCAUUAACAUAUCGGCCCGUUAUGCUAAGGCCAUGCCCAUUCACCUUUGCCGCACUAGUGGUCCAAUACCACUUGCAUCACAAUCCUGUCUCUCCAAGACUGGGCCAUCCGUCCAUGAGUGGUCAUCCCAGAUCCACUCCUUAGCAUCCUUAGGAUGCCCACAGACAUAGGGAAUAGCCUUCCCCAAUAUCCCUUUGUCAGUUCCUACCAAGUCCCUUUUCUGUCCAUGGCCAUGUUCGCCAACACUGCCACUAUAUCAAGGCCCACAGGCCCGACCACUAAGUCCCAUGGUCCUCUGGGACUUCCUCACCAUGUGACUGUAUCUUUAGUCACUACACUAGAGGACUGUUCCUCCUCCUUUCCCCCAUUUGGGACUCCGGGACAACAUUUCGGAACACUGUGGGCCUAUGCGAGCCCCGUGGGUACUCUCCCCACCUUCUGCCUUUAGGUACUCUAGCCAUGGGCUUAGAGCGAGGUUCCGUUGAGCCAUGCCUGGUAUCCAAGUAGGUAGUGCCACCCACAUUUGGACAGGGGGCAUCGGCCAGUCGAUCUCCCAGGGGAAUUAGAGCCGGCUCUUGAACACUUCACCAAGCUACCCCGUUUGUCAGUCCGUAUUCACUCUAGUCUUGGACUUCCCAGUGGUUAAUUCAUCACCCAACACUGGGUCUAGCCUUCCUGGGCCAAACUGCCAAACUAGCUCCACUGUAGUCCUCCCCCUCACUAUACUUUUGGAGCUCACCAAACCCCCCAGGGUCUGGGAGAUGAACGCUUUGGGCUUUCACCCUCUCAGACUCGGACUCGGACUCGGACUCGAACUUGGACUCGAACUCGGACUCGGACUCGAACUUGGACUCGACCUCGGACUCGGCUUCGGUCUCGGCCUCUGCCUCGGUCUCAGCCUCUGCCUCGGUCUCGGCCUCUGCCUCGGUCUCGGCUUCUGCCUCGGUCUCGGCCUCGGCCUCGGCCUCCGCCUCGGUCUCGGCCUCGGUCUUGGUCCUGGUCCCAGUCUCGGUCCCAGUCUCGGUCUCAGUCUCGGUCCCGGUCUCGGUCCCAGUCUCGGUCUCGACCUCGGACUCCAUCUCGGGUCCUUCUCAGACUCCAUCUCGGACUCCGUCUCGGUCCAUCUCGGACUCCAUCUUGGGUCCAUCUCGGACUCCAUCUCGGACUCCAUCUCGGACUCCAUCUCGGACUCCAUCUCGGGUCCAUCUCGGACUCCAUCUCGGGUCCAUCUCGGGUCCAUCUCGGACUCCAUCUCGGACUCCAUCUCGGGUCCAUCUUGGACUCCAUCUCGGACUCCAUCUCGGGUCCUUCUCGGACUUCAUCUCGGACUCCAUCUCGGACACUUCCACGUGUCAUAUGUUAGUCUCUUUUGGGUCCCUUUUUAGAGCCUCGCUUAUUGCUCGCGUCGUGCUCAUUCCUCGAGCACUUUGUUGGGAGUUCCACUCCCGCUCUCGACCUAUCAAGUCGGAGCUUUUAGUCCAAACUUGUUACGCUCGUUUGGCUUUCGCUUCGGCCACUACCACAUGGCACCCUUCCGGCUCCACUUUGGGGCCUAGGAAUUUUGUGUCUCACAUAUAGCUCCUCCUGCUCUUGCUGCUAAUACUUGCAUGUCCUUUAACUCCACUUCUUAUGGAAGAUGGUCAUAUUCCAAUGGAGGUUGAUGCCACUAUUGCCCAAACUCAAGGACAAGAGCAAGGACGUGGUUAUAGCUAUAAUAUUUAUUAUUGAAGCUCUAUUUCGUUAAAGUGGGAAUUGUCAUUAUCCCACUUGUAAAAUAAGGUUUCCAAACCU